GUAAUUUUCUUUUUUUCCUUUUUCCCUCCUUCCUUUUUUCCCUUUUCUUUUUUUGUCCUUCCUUCUUUCUCUCUUUUUCUCUUUUCCCUUUUCUCUCUUUUCUUUCUCCUUUUUUCCAGCUGGUGGGCCGGCAGCCCAUCUCCCUUUUCCUCCUCUCUCCACUCCUCCUUUCCAUCCCUCCCCUUUUUCCCCCUCCCUUCGGCCUCCUCCCCUCUUCCGUGUGGCCCGGCCCAGUUCCUCGGCCCGCUCGCUUCACUCCCUCUCCCCCUCUC
This 272-nucleotide long non-coding RNA is filed under the name Oryza brachyantha (malo sina). RNAcentral describes it as "long non-coding RNA (OBRA_LNC001400)". Lineage: Eukaryota; Viridiplantae; Streptophyta; Magnoliopsida; Poales; Poaceae. The record is from RNAcentral.